RNAcentral lists this ribosomal RNA (253 nucleotides) under uncultured bacterium. RNAcentral's name for it is "partial 16S ribosomal RNA". It matches the Rfam family "Bacterial small subunit ribosomal RNA", at positions 524 to 776 of the family's 1533-position model. The record is from RNAcentral.
UACGUAGGGUGCGAGCGUUACUCGGAAUUACUGGGCGUAAAGCGUGCGCAGGCGGUUUUGUAAGCCAGAUGUGAAAUCCCCGGGCUUAACCUGGGAAUGGCAUUUGGGACUGCAAGGCUUGAGUGCGGCAGAGGAGACUGGAAUUCCUGGUGUAGCAGUGAAAUGCGCAGAUAUCAGGAGGAACACCGGUGGCGAAGGCGGUUCUCUGGGCCUGUACUGACGCUGAGGAACGAAAGCGUGGGGAGCGAACAGG